This 294-nucleotide long non-coding RNA is filed under the name Sorghum bicolor (sorghum). RNAcentral describes it as "long non-coding RNA (SBIC_LNC003603)". Lineage: Eukaryota; Viridiplantae; Streptophyta; Magnoliopsida; Poales; Poaceae. The record is from RNAcentral.
CACGCAUACCAAGACGAACAUGCAAGAGAACAAUUCCUAAAGUUAGAACAGUACACCAGCAGUAAAUAAAUUAAAUAAAAGUUUUCCAAAAUCAUCUACGUGCUGCUACGAUCACGUCAACGCGAAAUUCACGAAAAACGGACUUACGACGCGAAAGUUACGCUUUUAACGGGAUUUCAACAACAAUCUAUGGACUUGUAAUUAACUAGGAAAUCUAACAGUGGUAAACCUAAACAACAGUGGUACCAACGCGAAGCUUACGAAAUUACGAAACUAACGCAACUUGAACGGGUC